Molecule: small nuclear RNA, 122 nt
Organism: Panthera leo (lion)
Lineage: Eukaryota; Metazoa; Chordata; Mammalia; Carnivora; Felidae
Gene: U4
Rfam family: U4 spliceosomal RNA
About the family: U4 small nuclear RNA (U4 snRNA) is a component of the major U2-dependent spliceosome. The structure of U4 snRNA from yeast and human has been reported.
Source: Ensembl
AGCUUUGUACAGGGGCAGGAUCGUAGUCAAUGAGGUUUAUCUGAACUGUGAUUAUUGCUAAUUGAAAACUUUUCCCGAUAUCCCACUGUGACGAUGUGAAAUAUAAAAGAUUCUACCAAAGG